AUUGAACGCUGGCGGCAGGCCUAACACAUGCAAGUCGAGCGGAUGAAGGGAGCUUGCUCCUGGAUUCAGCGGCGGACGGGUGAGUAAUGCCUAGGAAUCUGCCUGGUAGUGGGGGAUAACGUCCGGAAACGGGCGCUAAUACCGCAUACGUCCUGAGGGAGAAAGUGGGGGAUCUUCGGACCUCACGCUAUCAGAUGAGCCUAGGUCGGAUUAGCUAGUUGGUGGGGUAAAGACCUACCAAGGCGACGAUCCGUAACUGGUCUGAGAGGAUGAUCAGUCACACUGGAACUGAGACACGGUCCAGACUCCUACGGGAGGCAGCAGUGGGGAAUAUUGGACAAUGGGCGAAAGCCUGAUCCAGCCAUGCCGCGUGUGUGAAGAAGGUCUUCGGAUUGUAAAGCACUUUAAGUUGGGAGGAAGGGCAGUAAGUUAAUACCUUGCUGUUUUGACGUUACCAACAGAAUAAGCACCGGCUAACUUCGU
This 483-nucleotide ribosomal RNA is filed under the name uncultured bacterium. RNAcentral's name for it is "partial 16S ribosomal RNA". It matches the Rfam family "Bacterial small subunit ribosomal RNA", at positions 30 to 506 of the family's 1533-position model. The record is from RNAcentral.